GAGGUGAAGGAGCUAAUGGUUGAUUAGAAGUACCAUCUUGGAGUAAAGGGGUUGAUUGUUGAGGAAUAACCACCUUAGAAGUGGAUUGUGGAUGUGGGGAGUCUCUUUUACAUGUUGCAUCUAUGCCUCCUCGAUUAGUGGCAAAACGUUUACGACCUUUACCUCUUGGCAUAAUUACUUAACCUGAAAAUCCUCAUCAUCUUCACUAUCAUUGUACUCAAUAUUAUCAUCACUUUGUUCAUCUUCUUCAUUUCCAGAAGAAUCAAAGUCAGAUUCAUCUAAUUCUUCUUCAUUUUCAUGUCUAUCAAUUUCAUCUGCUCCUUCAUUUUCAGGAAUUUCUUCCUCAAUCUCAUGUUCUUCCACUUCACCAUUUUCAUGGCAUAGAGACUCAAGAUCAUCGGUGAUAAUUGGGACUGAUGCAAUAUAACAAUCAUCUUCUUGGUAAGGCACAUUUGGAGAAUCAAUUCUACUUCUAGCUUUGACCUUACACACAACCCACCAAUCAACCCUUUCUUUCUUUUUACUAUGAUAUUCUAAAAAGUAGACUUGUUGUGAUUGUGCCGCCAAAACAAAAGGUUCAUAGGCAUAGCUCAAAAACCGUUUCUUAUGAUUAAUAUCAAUUAGACCAUAUCGAUUAUGAACCUUCCACCCUCGAUCCAAAGUUGGAUUGAACCAAUCACACUUGAAUAACACCAGAGUAGUUCUUUUGUUUGUUGGAUUGGGAAACUCUAGUUGUAUAACAUCAACUAGCAUUCCAUAGUAGUCACUUUCAUUUUCACUCCAACUUUUUCCUUUGAUGCACACACCACUAUUUAUAGUUGAUUUAUUCGAGCCAUGAGUGAGCGUGUGGAACCUAUAGCCAUUAGUAAAAUACUGAGGCCAUGUCUGCACCCAUUUAUAUGGACCACAAGCUAAAUUUUUUAACCGCUCAUCAACUAUGGUGUUUACUGGAUCAAAAACCUAUCAAUACACCAAAUCAACCAAACAUAUGCUUAGUAAAAUAGAAAUUGUUUUUCUCCUUUUUUUUUCCGAAUUCUAUUUUAGUUGUAAUAAUAUAAAAAAUAUUAAUUUUUAUUUAAUCAUCAAUCUGAGAUGGCAUGACGAAGGAGAAGUGUAGUUUCUGCAUCGC
This 1129-nucleotide unclassified non-coding RNA is filed under the name Hevea brasiliensis (rubber tree). Lineage: Eukaryota; Viridiplantae; Streptophyta; Magnoliopsida; Malpighiales; Euphorbiaceae. The record is from RNAcentral.